RNAcentral lists this long non-coding RNA (1148 nucleotides) under Macaca fascicularis (crab-eating macaque). RNAcentral's name for it is "lncRNA (ENSMFAG00000050794.1)". The record is from RNAcentral. Lineage: Eukaryota; Metazoa; Chordata; Mammalia; Primates; Cercopithecidae.
UUGAUGUUUGUCAUUUUUAUUUGCAAUACUUUAGGUCCAAGUUUCAAACUGCAAUAUUUUUACACUCAAGACACAGUCAUGCACAAUCCAUAUUUCAAUUUUCUAUUGCUUCAACCACAAUUUAAAAUAACAAUAUUGAAAACAAAAAUCCUUAAAAAGAUUGGAUGCUGAGGUCAGAAGGAUGGAACCAUACCAUCAGCAGGUCGACAAAAGAAAUAACUUACUUAAAAAUCAAACAAACAAAAAGACCAUAAAUACCUUUAAUCCAAAGUUACAGAAGAAUUUCACUACACAUGGUUUACAGAUAACACAUUUUGACAAAAGUAAUGCUCAGCCAAUUGAGAUACAAUUCUGAUAAACAAUGAAAAUGUGGAUCCUUCUCAACUUGUUUUGUGUAGAUGUUAUGAGUAUCAUCCCAGUAGACAUCACUACCCUGUGAUCUGGUUCCUCUUGGCUGAUGUACUGAGAUUAAAAACUCAAUGCAUUAGUAGUUACAGGAUUCUGUGAAGAUCUUAUCAUCAAUAAUGAAUAUAGUAUUUGCGGGUCCAUAAAGCACACCACACACAAGAACACACAUUGAACUCGAAUUUUGCACUCAGGGCUGGUUGGCACUCUGCUGUAGGCAGGGAAUUGGGACCAUCCACUAACUAACUCCCAGUUUACCCUCUUUCCAGCAGUGUACUCAUCAUACAACUGGCCAAUCACUGUGGGAGUUGUCAUCAGAAAUGCUAUCUUUGGUUCCCAACAAAUGAAUUUGUCAACACUUCUGAAUGCUAAUAGCAUGUAAUUACUUUUUCAUUUCUCUCUGCAACUUGUAAAUGUUUAGGUUCACUCUUAAUAGUCUCAGCCAUUGAAAUGCAUGGGCUCUGCUAUCUUGUGCCACUUGAGAAUUGAACUCUAGAAAGCCCAGCACUACUUCACAGGAAAGGAGAAGCCCAAGCACAGUUAUAUUCUAGCAAGUGUGACAGUGUGUUUCUGUUUUAGCAGCAAAUACUGGUCACAGCUUAAGGAAAACCAGACUUUACAUACAGACUGUAUGGAAAAUGAAAACUGGGAACAGUCAACAGAAAAUGGACAUUAGAACAAAAACAAAAUGAAACAACUGUAAACGAAUUGGAAGACUGCCACAAAUUUUAUCAACAUCCCCU